This 254-nucleotide ribosomal RNA is filed under the name uncultured bacterium. Its description in RNAcentral is "partial 16S ribosomal RNA". It matches the Rfam family "Bacterial small subunit ribosomal RNA", at positions 524 to 776 of the family's 1533-position model. The record is from RNAcentral.
UACGAGGGGAGCAAGCGUUGUUCGGAUUUACUGGGCGUAAAGGGCGCGUAGGCGGUCGUGACAAGUCACUUGUGAAAUCUCCGGGCUUAACUCGGAACGGUCAAGUGAUACUGUCGGACUAGAGUACAGAAGGGGCAACUGGAAUUCUCGGUGUAGCGGUGAAAUGCGUAGAUAUCGAGAGGAACACCUGCGGCGAAGGCGGGUUGCUGGGCUGAUACUGACGCUGAGGCGCGAAAGCCAGGGGAGCGAACGGG